Molecule: ribosomal RNA, 296 nt
Filed under: uncultured bacterium
Lineage: Bacteria
Description: partial 16S ribosomal RNA
Rfam family: Bacterial small subunit ribosomal RNA
Source: RNAcentral
ACUCCUACGGGAGGCAGCAGUGGGGAAUAUUGCACAAUGGGCGCAAGCCUGAUGCAGCCAUGCCGCGUGUAUGAAGAAGGCCUUCGGGUUGUAAAGUACUUUCAGCAGUGAGGAAGGGUGAGUUAAUAGUACAUGCUUCGUUUGAUCGUUUAGCUGCAGAAGAAGCACCGGCUAACUCCGUGCCAGCAGCCGCGGUAAUACGGAGGGUGCGAGCGUUAAUCGGAAUUACUGGGCGUAAAGCGCAUGCAGGUGGUUUGUUAAGUCAGAUGUGAAAGCCCGGGGCUCAACCUCGGAAU